GAUGAACGCUGGCGGCGUGCUUAACACAUGCAAGUCGAACGAUGAAGCCCAGCUUGCUGGGUGGAUUAGUGGCGAACGGGUGAGUAACACGUGAGUAACCUGCCCUUAACUCUGGGAUAAGCCUGGGAAACUGGGUCUAAUACCGGAUAGGAGCGUCCACCGCAUGGUGGGUGUUGGAAAGAUUUAUCGGUUUUGGAUGGACUCGCGGCCUAUCAGCUUGUUGGUGAGGUAAUGGCUCACCAAGGCGACGACGGGUAGCCGGCCUGAGAGGGUGACCGGCCACACUGGGACUGAGGGACGGCCCAGACUCCUACGGGAGGCAGCAGUGGGGAAUAUUGCACAAUGGGCGCAAGCCUGAUGCAGCGACGCCGCGUGAGGGAAGACGGCCUUCGGGGUGUAAACCUCUUUCAGUAGGGAAGAAGCGAAAGUGACGGUACCUGCAGAAGAAGCACCGGCUAACUACGUG
Molecule: ribosomal RNA, 466 nt
Filed under: uncultured bacterium
Lineage: Bacteria
Description: partial 16S ribosomal RNA
Rfam family: Bacterial small subunit ribosomal RNA
Source: RNAcentral